AAACGACUCUCGGCAACGGAUAUCUCGGCUCUCGCAUCGAUGAAGAACGUAGCGAAAUGCGAUACUUGGUGUGAAUUGCAGAAUCCCGUGAACCAUCGAGUCUUUGAACGCAAGUUGCGCCCGAAGCCAUCCGGUCGAGGGCACGUCUGCCUGGGCGUCACGC
This 163-nucleotide ribosomal RNA is filed under the name Diospyros sp. Y.K. RNAcentral's name for it is "5.8S ribosomal RNA". It matches the Rfam family "5.8S ribosomal RNA". From Rfam's summary of the family: 5.8S ribosomal RNA (5.8S rRNA) is a component of the large subunit of the eukaryotic ribosome. The record is from RNAcentral. Lineage: Eukaryota; Viridiplantae; Streptophyta; Magnoliopsida; Ericales; Ebenaceae.